This 712-nucleotide ribosomal RNA is filed under the name uncultured Bacteroidales bacterium. RNAcentral describes it as "bacterial SSU rRNA". It matches the Rfam family "Bacterial small subunit ribosomal RNA", at positions 42 to 742 of the family's 1533-position model. The record is from RNAcentral. Lineage: Bacteria; Pseudomonadati; Bacteroidota; Bacteroidia; Bacteroidales.
ACAGGCUUAACACAUGCAAGUCGAGGGGCAGCAUUUUAGUUUGCUUGCAAACUGAAGAUGGCGACCGGCGCACGGGUGAGUAACACGUAUCCAACCUGCCGAUAACUCCGGGAUAGCCUUUCGAAAGAAAGAUUAAUACCGGAUGGCAUACGAAUAUCGCAUGAUAUUUUUAUUAAAGAAUUUCGGUUAUCGAUGGGGAUGCGUUCCAUUAGUUUGUUGGCGGGGUAACGGCCCACCAAGACUACGAUGGAUAGGGGUUCUGAGAGGAAGGUCCCCCACAUUGGAACUGAGACACGGUCCAAACUCCUACGGGAGGCAGCAGUGAGGAAUAUUGGUCAAUGGGCGAGAGCCUGAACCAGCCAAGUAGCGUGAAGGAUGAAGGCUCUAUGGGUCGUAAACUUCUUUUAUAUGGGAAUAAAGUUUUCCACGUGUGGAAUUUUGUAUGUACCAUAUGAAUAAGGAUCGGCUAACUCCGUGCCAGCAGCCGCGGUAAUACGGAGGAUCCGAGCGUUAUCCGGAUUUAUUGGGUUUAAAGGGAGCGUAGGUGGAUUGUUAAGUCAGUUGUGAGAGUUUGCGGCUCAACCGUAAAAUUGCAGUUGAAACUGGCAGUCUUGAGUACAGUAGAGGUGGGCGGAAUUCGUGGUGUAGCGGUGAAAUGCUUAGAUAUCACGAAGAACUCCGAUUGCGAAGGCAGCUCACUAGACUGUUACUG